CGCAUCUGUGCAUGCAGCAUAUCAAUAAGCGGAGGAAAAGAAACUAACAAGGAUUCCCUUAGUAACGGCGAGUGAAGCGGGAAGAGCUCAAAUUUGAAAUCUUCAAGGUUUUACCUUGACGAAUUGUAGUUUAAAGAAGUGUUUUCUGUUGAAGUUUUGGUAAAAGUUCUUUGGAAUAGGACAUCAUAGAGGGUGAGAAUCCCGUAUUUGACCAUUAUUUUCAGCGGUGUGAUACACUUUCAAAGAGUCGGAUUGUUUGGGAAUGCAGUCCAAGAUGGGUGGUAAAUUUCAUCUAAAGCUAAAUAUUGGCGAGAGACCGAUAGCGAACAAGUACCGUGAGGGAAAGAUGAAAAGAACUCUGAAAAGAGAGUUAAACAGUACGUGAAAUUGUCAAAAGGGAAGCGUUUGACACCAGUGUUGUUUUCUCGAAAAUCAAUUAAAAAGAGUUAGAUUUUGUUGUGUAUUGACCUUAACAGCUUGCAUUUCAAUUUUCUUGCUUUUUUUAAUGCACUUUUCGUUUAACAAGUCAACAUCAGUUUCUUUUGUUGUAAAAAGGUCAUUGGAAGGUGGCUUUCUUUUCGGAGAAAGUGUUUAUAGUCUUUGACUCCUGCAAUCGGAGAGACUGAGGUCUGCAGCGUAGAUCCUUCGGGGUUAGAUACAUUUGUGCUAAGUUAUAGCUUUUUAUAGACAACUCGUUGACUAUGAUUAGUCUUGUAGCUUACUCGCUUAUGCUAUUUUACCUACGCUUAGGAUGUUGAACUCUAUCACACACAG
Molecule: ribosomal RNA, 774 nt
Filed under: uncultured Neocallimastigales
Lineage: Eukaryota; Fungi; Neocallimastigomycota; Neocallimastigomycetes; Neocallimastigales
Description: partial large subunit ribosomal RNA
Rfam family: Eukaryotic large subunit ribosomal RNA
Source: RNAcentral